Molecule: non-coding RNA, 633 nt
Organism: Rattus norvegicus (Norway rat)
Lineage: Eukaryota; Metazoa; Chordata; Mammalia; Rodentia; Muridae
Source: RefSeq, a predicted model, not a curated record
GAGCACUGCGGCAGGCUCCCGAGUUCCAUAUGAGGGCUGGAAGUAGAGUGAGGCUUUGGGAAACAUCACAGGCGGAUGAACCAUCUACUGCACCGUAAUUUCCACUGCCAUUUUUACAACUAUUUGAAAAGCCAGGAGCCAUCACUUAGGAAGGACCUCACCACAGAGCCUCAACUUUCCUCGAAUCGUGCAGAGCCGACUGUUAAUUCUAACGUUGAAAAGGGCUGUGUGAUUAAAAUUUGAGCUCAUUCCUCUUCUCCAUUAUUAUAAAAAGGGGGUGACCCUGUAAAUUUACUCAAGCUGUUUAAACACAGAAGGCGUACAAGCACUCAGAGGCAGCAUGCCACAGACCAAGGGCGAUCAGGAAAGCUGCCUCGGUGACGCUGCAGCUCAGCAGCUUCAGCCUCACAAUAUGAAGGACUUUUAAAGAUGUACUGCAGUCACGCAGUAGAGGUCUCAUCAAUGUGACAUUGACUCCAGGAAAACAAACUAGCAGUGGGAGCAAGUACGAUGUGCUGAAAGGCAGCAGCCUCUGCGCUCUCGACUGAUACGUGGGUUUUCCUUUUUUUUUUUUUUUUUUUUUUCUGUUGUUCUGUUAGAAAUCAUUGACUGUUAAACAAAACUAAAACAGAA